AGUGAACGCUGGCGGUAGGCCUAACACAUGCAAGUCGAACGGCAGCACAGUAAGAGCUUGCCCUUACGGGUGGCGAGUGGCGGACGGGUGAGGAAUACAUCGGAAUCUACUUUUUCGUGGGGGAUAACGUAGGGAAACUUACGCUAAUACCGCAUACGAUCUACGGGAGAAAGCAGGGGAUCUUCGGACCUUGCGCGAUUGAAUGAGCCGAUGUCGGAUUAGCUAGUUGGCGGGGUAAAGGCCCACCAAGGCGACGAUCCGUAGCAGGUCUGAGAGGAUGAUCAGCCACACUGGAACUGAGACACGGUCCAGACUCCUACGGGAGGCAGCAGUGGGGAAUAUUGGACAAUGGGCGCAAGCCUGAUCCAGCCAUACCGCGUGAGUGAAGAAGGCCUUCGGGUUGUAAAGCCCUUUUGUUGGGAAAGAAAAGCAGCAGGUUAAUACCCCGCUGUUCUGACGGUACCCAAAGAAUAAGCACCGGCUAACUUCGUG
This 492-nucleotide ribosomal RNA is filed under the name uncultured bacterium. RNAcentral describes it as "partial 16S ribosomal RNA". It matches the Rfam family "Bacterial small subunit ribosomal RNA", at positions 29 to 507 of the family's 1533-position model. The record is from RNAcentral.